GCUUGAGUCUCGUAGAGGGGGGUAGAAUUCCAGGUGUAGCGGUGAAAUGCGUAGAGAUCUGGAGGAAUACCGGUGGCGAAGGCGGCCCCCUGGACGAAGACUGACGCUCAGGUGCGAAAGCGUGGGGAGCAAACAGGAUUAGAUACCCUGGUAGUCCACGCCGUAAACGAUGUCGACUUGGAGGUUGUGCCCUUGAGGCGUGGCUUCCGGAGCUAACGCGUUAAGUCGACCGCCUGGGGAGUACGGCCGCAAGGUUAAAACUCAAAUGAAUUGACGGGGGCCCGCACAAGCGGUGGAGCAUGUGGUUUAAUUCGAUGCAACGCGAAGAACCUUACCUGGUCUUGACAUCCAGAGAAUCCUGCAGAGAUGCGGGAGUGCCUUCGGGAACUCUGAGACAGGUGCUGCAUGGCUGUCGUCAGCUCGUGUUGUGAAAUGUUGGGUUAAGUCCCGCAACGAGCGCAACCCUUAUCCUUUGUUGCCAGCGGU
RNAcentral lists this ribosomal RNA (486 nucleotides) under Cronobacter sakazakii. RNAcentral's name for it is "bacterial SSU rRNA". It matches the Rfam family "Bacterial small subunit ribosomal RNA", at positions 640 to 1125 of the family's 1533-position model. The record is from RNAcentral. Lineage: Bacteria; Pseudomonadati; Pseudomonadota; Gammaproteobacteria; Enterobacterales; Enterobacteriaceae.